RNAcentral lists this unclassified non-coding RNA (949 nucleotides) under Hevea brasiliensis (rubber tree). The record is from RNAcentral. Lineage: Eukaryota; Viridiplantae; Streptophyta; Magnoliopsida; Malpighiales; Euphorbiaceae.
AUUUUUAAGCUGUAAAAGAAAGAAACGGAAUAUUGAAGGGGAUUGACUUUGACUGAUUCAGUAUACAGAACAUAAAGCUUCCUUCCUAGCUAAGGCCAUUCUCUCUACUCCUCUGAAAGCCGAUCAAAGAAUUGGUAUCACCAUUCCUUUGAUCCACAGCGGAUGGCAGAAGCUGAUUCCAAACCUAUCAGAAUCUUAGUCGUCGUGAUGAUGGACGGUGAUUCACGCAGCUUCAUUUCAGCAAAUUCUAAUGAUACCAUAAAAUCUGUCCAUUACCAAAUUCGAGAGGUUUUCGGAAUUCCGCUUACCCUACAGAAAAUAUAUUACUUUGGGAAGAGGCUAGAGUGGUGCCAGACACUUAAGGAGUGCUCAAUUGAAGACUAUGCUUGUCUCCAGGUAGUGCUCCGAAAGGAUGGUGUAACUCGCCAGAAUUCUUCUGAGGCUUUAAAUUUGGUUUCACAGAUACAUGCUAUGUGCCAGAGGAAAUCGGUCGCCUUUGAUUAUGGAUGCAUAAGCAACAAAAUAAGAGACCUUUUCUCCAUUUUGAGGCAGCAGACGACGUUUCUUCUAGCAACUCUCCCUUCGUCUUUUGUUACGCUUUAUCUAAAUAUCGAAGAGAUUGGUGAUGCGGUAAUCAGAUUUUUCUUGGAUUCAUUAUUGAAGAUGAUGUUAGCAAAAGGUUGGCUUGAUAAAUGUGCAUCUAUACUUACACUAUUAUGCGUCUAUCUUCGGUCGAAUAAUGGUGUUGGUACCCACCUGUAUCUCUUAUGCCGCACUCAUCUAACAGAGUUGUUUGAAAAAGGUAAUUAUAAAAUCAAUUUCGAGUAUCUUGAAAACCCAAUAGCAAAUAUUUCUUUCAUUUUUAGAGAUUUGGCAAAAAGCUUGUGUAGAGAUUUGGAUCGCAGGGCCACUCCAUCCUCAGGCGUCAUUGAUGUUCGUGACUUUAAGG